GAUGAACGCUGGCGGCGUGCUUAACACAUGCAAGUCGAACGGAAAGGCCCAAGUUUGCUUGUGUUCUCGAGUGGCGAACGUGUGAGUAACACGUGGGUUAUCUGCCCCGCACUUCGGUAUAAGCCUGGGAAACUGUGUCUUAUCCCGGAUAGGCCAGUGUUUUUGAUGCCAUUGUGGAAAGUUUUUUCGGUGUGGGGUGCGCUCGCGGCCUAUCAGCUUGUUGGGGGGGUUAUGGCCUACCAAGGGGUCGACGGGUAGGCGGGCUGAGAGGGUGUAACGGGACAAUUGGGAGGGGAAAAAGGCCAAACACCCACGGGGGGGAGGAAGGGGGGAAAAUGGACAAAGGGGGCAAGGCCGAGGGAGGGAGGGCGGGGGGGGGGAGAAGGGCCUUGGGGUUUAAACCCCUGUUCGCUAGGGACGAGGCGUGAUGUGACGGUACCUAGAGAAGAAGCACCGGCUAACUACGUG
RNAcentral lists this ribosomal RNA (468 nucleotides) under uncultured bacterium. Its description in RNAcentral is "partial 16S ribosomal RNA". It matches the Rfam family "Bacterial small subunit ribosomal RNA", at positions 28 to 507 of the family's 1533-position model. The record is from RNAcentral.